RNAcentral lists this ribosomal RNA (250 nucleotides) under uncultured bacterium. RNAcentral describes it as "partial 16S ribosomal RNA". It matches the Rfam family "Bacterial small subunit ribosomal RNA", at positions 86 to 339 of the family's 1533-position model. The record is from RNAcentral.
AGUCGACGAGUGGCGGACGGGUGAGUAAUGCAUAGGAAUCUACCCAGUAGCGGGGGACAACGUGUGGAAACGCACGCUAAUACCGCAUACGCCUUACGGGGGAAAGCGGGGGACCUUCGGGCCUCGCACUAUUGGAUGAGCCUGCGUUGGAUUAGCUAGUUGGUAGGGUAAAGGCCUACCAAGGCGACGAUCCAUAACUGGUCUGAGAGGAUGAUCAGUCACACUGGAACUGAGACACGGUCCAGACUCC